RNAcentral lists this ribosomal RNA (401 nucleotides) under Acidobacteriota bacterium. RNAcentral's name for it is "bacterial SSU rRNA". It matches the Rfam family "Bacterial small subunit ribosomal RNA", at positions 1 to 416 of the family's 1533-position model. Lineage: Bacteria; Pseudomonadati; Acidobacteriota. The record is from RNAcentral.
ACAAACGAGAGUUUGAUCCUGGCUCAGAAUCAACGCUGGCGGCGUGCCUAACACAUGCAAGUCGAACGAGAAAGUGGAGCAAUCCAUGAGUAAAGUGGCGCACGGGUGAGUAACACGUGACUAACCUACCUUUGAGUGGGGAAUAACUUCGGGAAACCGAGGCUAAUACCGCAUAAUACCUACGGGUCAAAGGAGCAAUCCGCUUAAAGAGGGGGUCGCGGCUGAUUAGCUAGUUGGCGGGGUAAUGGCCCACCAAGGCGAUGAUCAGUAUCCGGCCUGAGAGGGCGCACGGACACACUGGAACUGAAACACGGUCCAGACUCCUACGGGAGGCAGCAGUGGGGAAUUUUGCACAAUGGGGGAAACCCUGAUGCAGCAACGCCGCGUGGAGGAUGAAGUCC